CGGGAGACUGGGCCGGACAGGCCUCUCGCCAACCCGGUCAGGUCCGGAAGGAAGCAGCCGUAACGAGUUUUGGUCUGGGUCGGUUCCAGCCUCCCACCU
This 99-nucleotide signal recognition particle RNA is filed under the name Alphaproteobacteria bacterium. RNAcentral's name for it is "signal recognition particle sRNA small type". It matches the Rfam family "Bacterial small signal recognition particle RNA". From Rfam's summary of the family: The signal recognition particle (SRP) is a universally conserved ribonucleoprotein involved in the co-translational targeting of proteins to membranes. The record is from RNAcentral. Lineage: Bacteria; Pseudomonadati; Pseudomonadota; Alphaproteobacteria.